AAUGGCUCCAGACUGUUCCAUCUUUCUGCUCUGCCUAUGUAAGCGCAGGUUGUCAGUGGACAAGCUCCAGACUGCAGAUGAUAAAGACUGGGACUAGGCUUCUGCCUCUAUGACUCUCAGGGAAUGCUGCUGGAAGCAGGCACAUGAGAUUGCUGCUUCCAUUGAAGAGUUCCAAGGACUCUUCCAGCUGCAACUGAAGCAGGGGGCUUUGUCUUCAGACUUGAAAGCUAUGUGCUUAGGUGAAGAUAGGAAUUCUUUCAACAUGACAGAAGGGGCUGAGGAGCAGCCAAGUGCUAGCUUAGCAUCCUGGAGGUCCAGGGUUCUAUAGUUGGGGAAAAGUCACAGCGAGGAGCACAGAAUAGGGACUCAGCAAAUGUCACAUAGACUGAGUUAAGCUUACUUGUCCUUAGAGAGUUUCUGAGAGAGCUUCACAGGGAAUAUUAGUAAGCUAUGAGCCAGCAGGGGACUGUCACACAAAGAGUAGAAAAAGGAGGAUCAGGAGCUGAAGUCCAUCAUGAGAUUUCUGUUUCAAUACCACCAACACUGAACACAAACAAGCAACCAAACAAAAACUAAAACCAAACCACUGGAAAUUUUCUCUGGCUUGGGAAGAACAACUUAGGUGGAGAGGGUCAAAUAAGGUCAAAGGACUUUUGCUUUCCAAAUUUGCUGAUUCUUUAAGCCAUCGUUCUCGUCUUCAAAUACUACUGAGACUGGUGCCAUUAAGU
Molecule: long non-coding RNA, 728 nt
Filed under: Mus musculus (house mouse)
Lineage: Eukaryota; Metazoa; Chordata; Mammalia; Rodentia; Muridae
Description: long non-coding RNA chr6:52297123-52297851
Source: RNAcentral